RNAcentral lists this ribosomal RNA (253 nucleotides) under uncultured bacterium. RNAcentral's name for it is "partial 16S ribosomal RNA". It matches the Rfam family "Bacterial small subunit ribosomal RNA", at positions 524 to 776 of the family's 1533-position model. The record is from RNAcentral.
UACGGAGGGUGCAAGCGUUAUCCGGAUUCACUGGGUUUAAAGGGUGCGUAGGUGGGCAGGUAAGUCAGUGGUGAAAUCUCCGGGCUUAACCCGGAAACUGCCAUUGAUACUAUUUGUCUUGAAUAUCGUGGAGGUCAGCGGAAUAUGUCAUGUAGCGGUGAAAUGCUUAGAUAUGACAUAGAACACCAGUUGCGAAGGCAGCUGGCUACACGAAUAUUGACACUGAUGCACGAAAGCGUGGGGAUCAAACAGG